UUUUAUGAGAGUUUGAUCCUGGCUCAGGACGAACGCUGGCGGCGUGCCUAAUACAUGCAAGUCGAACGCUUCUUUUUCCACCGGAGCUUGCUCCACCGGAAAAAGAGGAGUGGCGAACGGGUGAGUAACACGUGGGUAACCUGCCCAUCAGAAGGGGAUAACACUUGGAAACAGGUGCUAAUACCGUAUAACAAUCGAAACCGCAUGGUUUUGAUUUGAAAGGCGCUUUCGGGUGUCGCUGAUGGAUGGACCCGCGGUGCAUUAGCUAGUUGGUGAGGUAACGGCUCACCAAGGCCACGAUGCAUAGCCGACCUGAGAGGGUGAUCGGCCACAUUGGGACUGAGAC
RNAcentral lists this ribosomal RNA (346 nucleotides) under Enterococcus faecium. RNAcentral describes it as "bacterial SSU rRNA". It matches the Rfam family "Bacterial small subunit ribosomal RNA", at positions 1 to 325 of the family's 1533-position model. The record is from RNAcentral. Lineage: Bacteria; Bacillati; Bacillota; Bacilli; Lactobacillales; Enterococcaceae.